RNAcentral lists this non-coding RNA (25 nucleotides) under Rattus norvegicus (Norway rat). The record is from RNAcentral. Lineage: Eukaryota; Metazoa; Chordata; Mammalia; Rodentia; Muridae.
UAUGAGCUUAUGGGGCCUAUUCUUC